CACAAGAGUCAGGAUUUCUCCAGGGAAUCUUGAAAGUAUCUGCACUGCCAAAUUCCAAAGAGGCUCUAUCGUGAUUAUCUUACACUGACAAUACCAAAGACACUGGCAAUACGAAAGACACUGACUGCAAUCUUGCAGGUAUGCAUGGAAUUCUAUCUCUAUCCCUCCAAGAACUUUGUUUAAAUAAUUUUGCUUAAGAGGAAUGAAAUGUCCUUUUCUGUCAAGGUAGGA
Molecule: long non-coding RNA, 231 nt
Filed under: Homo sapiens (human)
Lineage: Eukaryota; Metazoa; Chordata; Mammalia; Primates; Hominidae
Description: HSALNT0203497
Source: RNAcentral